RNAcentral lists this ribosomal RNA (230 nucleotides) under uncultured bacterium. Its description in RNAcentral is "partial 16S ribosomal RNA". It matches the Rfam family "Bacterial small subunit ribosomal RNA", at positions 118 to 347 of the family's 1533-position model. The record is from RNAcentral.
UGAGUAACCUGCCCUUCACUCUGGGAUAACUCCGGGAAACCGGGGCUAAUACUGGAUAUGACUCGAACAGGCAUCUGUUACGGGUGGAAAGAUUUAUUGGUGGAGGAUGGACUCGCGGCCUAUCAGCUUGUUGGUGAGGUAACGGCUCACCAAGGCAACGAUGCGUAGCCGACUGAGAGGGUNAUCGGCCACAUUGGAACUGAGACACGGUCCAGACUCCUACGGGAGNA